Molecule: ribosomal RNA, 687 nt
Filed under: uncultured bacterium
Lineage: Bacteria
Description: bacterial SSU rRNA
Rfam family: Bacterial small subunit ribosomal RNA
Source: RNAcentral
GUAGUCCACGCCCUAAACGAUGCUCACUAGGCGUUGGGGAAGCGAUUCCUUGGUACCGUAGCUAACGCGUGAAGUGAGCCGCCUGGGGAGUACGGCCGCAAGGUUAAAACUCAAAGGAAUUGACGGGGACCCGCACAAGCGGUGGAUGAUGUGGAUUAAUUCGAUGCAACGCGAACAACCUUACCUACCCUUGACAUGUCUGGAAGGCUGCUGAAAGGCGGCUGUGCCCGAAAGGGAACCGGAACACAGGUGCUGCAUGGCUGUCGUCAGCUCGUGUCGUGAGAUGUUGGGUUAAGUCCCGCAACGAGCGCAACCCUUGUCCCUAGUUGCUACGCAAGGGCACUCUAGGGAGACUGCCGGUGACAAACCGGAGGAAGGUGGGGAUGACGUCAAGUCCUCAUGGCCCUUAUGGGUAGGGCUUCACACGUCAUACAAUGGUACAUACAGAGCGCCGCCAACCCGCGAGGGGGAGCUAAUCGCAGAAAGUGUAUCGUAGUCCGGAUUGUAGUCUGCAACUCGACUGCAUGAAGUUGGAAUCGCUAGUAAUCGCGGAUCAGCAUGUCGCGGUGAAUACGUUCCCGGGUCUUGUACACACCGCCCGUCACACCAUGGGAGCGGGUUUUACCAGAAGUAGGUAGCUUAACCGCAAGGAGGGCGCUUACCACGGUAGGAUUCGUGACUGGGGUG